Molecule: unclassified non-coding RNA, 26 nt
Filed under: Mus musculus (house mouse)
Lineage: Eukaryota; Metazoa; Chordata; Mammalia; Rodentia; Muridae
Description: oocyte_clustered_small_RNA6878
Source: RNAcentral
UCCUGCCACAGUCCUCCUGCUGCCCA